UACGUAGGGUGCGAGCGUUAAUCGGCAUUACUGGGCGUAAAGCGUGCGCAGGCGGUUUACUAAGCCAGGUGUGAAAUCCCCGGGCUCAACCUGGGAAUUGCGCUUGAUACUGGUAAACUAGAGUUUAGUAGAGGGAAGUGGAAUUCCACGUGUAGCGGUGAAAUGCGUAGAUAUGUGGAGGAACACCAGUGGCGAAGGCGGCUUCCUGGACUAAAACUGACACUGAGGUACGAAAGCGUGGGUAGCAAACAGG
Molecule: ribosomal RNA, 253 nt
Filed under: uncultured bacterium
Lineage: Bacteria
Description: partial 16S ribosomal RNA
Rfam family: Bacterial small subunit ribosomal RNA
Source: RNAcentral